Molecule: unclassified non-coding RNA, 362 nt
Filed under: soil metagenome
Description: partial contains 5.8S ribosomal RNA, internal transcribed spacer 2, and large subunit ribosomal RNA
Rfam family: 5.8S ribosomal RNA (bases 1-120)
Source: RNAcentral
GAUGAAGAACGUAGCGAAAUGCGAUAAGUAAUGUGAAUUGCAGAAUUCAGUGAAUCAUCGAAUCUUUGAACGCACAUUGCGCCCGCCAGUACUCUGGCGGGCAUGCCUGUUCGAGCGUCAUUUCAACCCUCAAGCCCUGCUUGGUGUUGGGGACCGGCUCCCGGGGGCCCGCCUCGCGCGGGCGCCCUGCCGCCCCCUAAAUCGAUCGGCGGCCACGACGCGGCCCCCCCUGCGCAGUAACAUACCACCUCGCAGGCGGGAGCACGCCGCGGCCACUGCCGUAAAACGCCCAACUUCUCAAGAGUUGACCUCGAAUCAGGUAGGAAUACCCGCUGAACUUAAGCAUAUCAAUAAGCGGAGGA